RNAcentral lists this long non-coding RNA (551 nucleotides) under Homo sapiens (human). Its description in RNAcentral is "HSALNT0286809". Lineage: Eukaryota; Metazoa; Chordata; Mammalia; Primates; Hominidae. The record is from RNAcentral.
UAACACUACUUAAGCUGCACCCCAGAGAUUUUGGAUCCACAAGAUGCUGCUGCUGCUUUGUGGCUGCAGGAUUCUGGUCUCAGGAAAACCCUCCAUUCAUUUUUUGCAUCAAUGUAGAAACUGAGGACCACAGGAUGAAGUUCGUUCUGAAAGAAAAUAUGGAGUUUUAACUAAAGACAGACAAGAAAUGUGAAGAGGCAAUCCAUGCAACAGAAAAUAAGAAAGAAAGAAUUUUGGUGACUUGGUAUAAUUAAUGAAAUCACAUUGAAGAUUGAAUUUUUCCAUAAUACCCUGUCAAUGAAAGGCCAAUCUAAACUUUUCUACAGGAGAUAGCAUGGGCUAUGAAUACAUGUUCUCGGCUUCCCCUAUUAGCCAACACUAAUAUCCCAUGGCUAAAAACAGUGACAGGCCUUAGAGUUACUCUAAGAAAAACUCUGGAAGCCAAGUAUAUGUGUGCAAGUUGUUAAGUAAGGAGGGGAAAGGCCCUUACAUCCUUACAGUCGAGAGACUGAUAUCUGGGAAUUGCAUCCUGCUUUUGCUACUGACUAGCA